GACGAACCGUGCGAACGUUGUUCGGAAUCACUGGGCUUAAAGGGCGCGUAGGCGGGCUGCCAAGUCUGGGGUGAAAUCCUCCGGCUCAACCGGAGAACGGCCUCGGAUACUGGCGGUCUCGAGGGGGGUAGGGGCGUGCGGAACUAAGGGUGGAGCGGUGAAAUGCGUUGAUAUCCUUAGGAACUCCGGUGGCGAAGGCGGCACGCUGGACCCCUUCUGACGCUGAGGCGCGAAAGCCAGGGGAGCAAACGGG
This 253-nucleotide ribosomal RNA is filed under the name uncultured bacterium. RNAcentral describes it as "partial 16S ribosomal RNA". It matches the Rfam family "Bacterial small subunit ribosomal RNA", at positions 524 to 776 of the family's 1533-position model. The record is from RNAcentral.